Molecule: ribosomal RNA, 230 nt
Filed under: uncultured bacterium
Lineage: Bacteria
Description: partial 16S ribosomal RNA
Rfam family: Bacterial small subunit ribosomal RNA
Source: RNAcentral
GUCAUGGCUCAGAUUGAACGCUGGCGGCAUGCUUUACACAUGCAAGUCGAACGGCAGCACAGGGAGCUUGCUCCCGGGUGGCGAGUGGCGCACGGGUGAGUAAUACAUCGGAACGUGUCCUGUUGUGGGGGAUAACUGCUCGAAAGGGUGGCUAAUACCGCAUGAGACCUGAGGGUGAAAGCGGGGGAUCGCAAGACCUCGCGCAAUUGGAGCGGCCGAUGCCCGAUUAG